Molecule: ribosomal RNA, 1343 nt
Filed under: uncultured bacterium
Lineage: Bacteria
Description: 16S ribosomal RNA
Rfam family: Bacterial small subunit ribosomal RNA
Source: RNAcentral
GACGAACGCUGGCGGCGUGCUUAACACAUGCAAGUCGAACGGAAAGGCCCUGCUUUUGUGGGGUGCUCCAGUGGCGAACGGGUGAGUAACACGUGAGUAACCUGCCCUUGACUUUGGGAUAACUUCAGGAAACUGGGGCUAAUACCGGAUAGGAGCUCCUGCUGCAUGGUGGGGGUUGGAAAGUUUCGGCGGUUGGGGAUGGACUCGCGGCUUAUCAGCUUGUUGGUGGGGUAGUGGCCUACCAAGGCUUUGACGGGUAGCCGGCCUGAGAGGGUGACCGGCCACAUUGGGACUGAGAUACGGCCCAGACUCCUACGGGAGGCAGCAGUGGGGAAUAUUGCACAAUGGGCGGAAGCCUGAUGCAGCAACGCCGCGUGCGGGAUGACGGCCUUCGGGUUGUAAACCGCUUUCGCCUGUGACGAAGCGUGAGUGACGGUAAUGGGUAAAGAAGCACCGGCUAACUACGUGCCAGCAGCCGCGGUGAUACGUAGGGUGCGAGCGUUGUCCGGAUUUAUUGGGCGUAAAGGGCUCGUAGGUGGUUGAUCGCGUCGGAAGUGUAAUCUUGGGGCUUAACCCUGAGCGUGCUUUCGAUACGGGUUGACUUGAGGAAGGUAGGGGAGAAUGGAAUUCCUGGUGGAGCGGUGGAAUGCGCAGAUAUCAGGAGGAACACCAGUGGCGAAGGCGGUUCUCUGGGCCUUUCCUGACGCUGAGGAGCGAAAGCGUGGGGAGCGAACAGGCUUAGAUACCCUGGUAGUCCACGCUGUAAACGGUGGGUACUAGGUGUGGGGUCCAUUCCACGGGUUCCGUGCCGUAGCUAACGCUUUAAGUACCCCGCCUGGGGAGUACGGCCGCAAGGCUAAAACUCAAAGGAAUUGACGGGGCCCCGCACAAGCGGCGGAGCAUGCGGAUUAAUUCGAUGCAACGCGUAGAACCUUACCUGGGUUUGACAUGGAUCGGGAGCGCUCAGAGAUGGGUGUGCCUCUUUUGGGGUCGGUUCACAGGUGGUGCAUGGCUGUCGUCAGCUCGUGUCGUGAGAUGUUGGGUUAAGUCCCGCAACGAGCGCAACCCUUGUUCACUGUUGCCAGCACGUUAUGGUGGGGACUCAGUGGAGACCGCCGGGGUCAACUCGGAGGAAGGUGGGGAUGACGUCAAGUCAUCAUGCCCCUUAUGUCCAGGGCUUCACGCAUGCUACAAUGGCUGGUACAGAGAGUGGCGAGCCUGUGAGGGUGAGCGAAUCUCGGAAAGCCGGUCUCAGUUCGGAUUGGGGUCUGCAACUCGACCUCAUGAAGUCGGAGUCGCUAGUAAUCGCAGAUCAGCAACGCUGCGGUGAAUACGUUCCCGGG